RNAcentral lists this ribosomal RNA (262 nucleotides) under uncultured Glomeromycotina. RNAcentral's name for it is "partial 18S ribosomal RNA". It matches the Rfam family "Eukaryotic small subunit ribosomal RNA", at positions 624 to 886 of the family's 1831-position model. The record is from RNAcentral. Lineage: Eukaryota; Fungi; Glomeromycota.
CCUUAAGCUCGUAGUUGAAUUUCGGGAUCAGUACGCUGGUCGUGCCUUCGGUAUGCACUGGUGUCACUGGUUCCUACCUUCUGAAGAACCAUCAUGCCAUUCAGUUGGUGUGGCGGGGAAUCAGGACUGUUACUUUGAAAAAAUUAGAGUGUUUAAAGCAGGCUCGCGCUUGAAUACAUUAGCAUGGAAUAAUGAAAUAGGACGUUUGACCCUAUUUUGUUGGUUUCUAGGAUCGACGUAAUGAUUAAUAGGGAUAGUUGGG